This 390-nucleotide ribosomal RNA is filed under the name uncultured bacterium. RNAcentral describes it as "bacterial SSU rRNA". It matches the Rfam family "Bacterial small subunit ribosomal RNA", at positions 28 to 417 of the family's 1533-position model. The record is from RNAcentral.
GACGAAUGCUGGCGGCGUGCUUAACACAUGCAAGUCGAGCGGUAAGGCCCUUUCGGGGGUACGACGAGCGGCGAACGGGUGAGUAACACGUGGGUGACCUGCCCUCAGCUCUGGGAUAAGCCUGGGAAACCGGGUCUAAUACCGGAUAUGACUCCAUGACGCAUGUUGUGGGGUGGAAAGCCUUGUGCGGCUGAGGAUGGGCCCGCGGCCUAUCAGCUUGUUGGUGGGGUGANGGGCCUACCAAGGCGACGACGGGUAGCCGGCCUGAGAGGGCGACCGGCCACACUGGGACUGAGACACGGCCCAGACUCCUACGGGAGGCAGCAGUGGGGAAUCUUGCGCAAUGGGCGAAAGCCUGACGCAGCGACGCCGCGUGAGGGAUGACGGCCU